GAUAAGAACGUAGCGAAAUGCGAUAAGUAAUGUGAAUUGCAGAAUUCAGUGAAUCAUCGAAUCUUUGAACGCACAUUGCGCCCGCCAGUAUUCUGGCGGGCAUGCCUGUUCGAGCGUCAUUUCAACCAUCAAGCCCCAGGCUUGUGUUGGAGCCCUGCGGCUGCCGCAGCCUCCCAAAACCAGUGGCGGGCUCGCUAUCACACCGAGUGCAGUAGUUUACUCUUCGCUCAGGGCGUGUGGCGGGUGCUAGCCGUAAAACCCCCAACUUCUCAAGGUUGACCUCGGAUCAGGUAGGAAUACCCGCUGAACUUAAGCAUAUCAAUAAGCGGAGGA
This 333-nucleotide unclassified non-coding RNA is filed under the name soil metagenome. Its description in RNAcentral is "partial contains 5.8S ribosomal RNA, internal transcribed spacer 2, and large subunit ribosomal RNA". The stretch from base 4 to 119 matches the Rfam family "5.8S ribosomal RNA", at positions 39 to 154 of the family's 154-position model. The record is from RNAcentral.